CUUGCACAUACCGUGAUAUAGUUGGCGAAAUAUAUCGAAUAGAUCUGGUUACAGAUGUUAAGCUCCCCGCUGCCAAAUCCCCAACAGACCGACGGUGAGGGGUCGAUCGAGCUACUCCGGGAACACUUAGCUCAAGCAAAAACUGUGGCUCCACGAAGGCUCCUGUUUUCGAGACACCACAAUCGUCUCAGUUUAUUCGCUACCUGGUCCGAAGUAAAAACACGAUGGUUGUUACCGGACAGACACCACUAGCUAGUUCAAUGAGCGGCAUUGGAAAGGUCUUUGUUCAAAUCAACGCUUGACUGCAGAAGUCUUCACUGCUUUACAUCAACGCUAGCUGUCCACCGAUGCAACCAUAAUAUGUGUAUGGCAUAGCUCUGAAACAGAAGCAUUGCCUACCUAAUAGCAGUAAAAGAAGGAACUAUUUAAAGAAAAAUUGCUUGACGACAUUUUUCACUUUAUAUUUAGCACAAUUAAUUGUUAAUUCGCUGUAAAUAAGUCCUCAGAACCGCCCAUUUUUAAAUGUUACAUCGAGAAACUGCCCUAGUAGUAGUUUAACUUUGCUAGUUAGUAGGCCUUUGCUGGACUUUUCAGAGGUUUCUCCAACAUGUUUAUGAAACGGCAUUGCAACCAUAUAAGCAAGUACUAACUUUAAUAAUAAUAAUACGUCACCUUCGCUAAAUCCUUAUUGUUCAUUCGCGUUUUAUAUUUCUGAUUACUAGUAUCUAGUUAUAAUGUUUGCCAACACUGAAAUUCAAACCACGGUGACAAUAUGCUUGCUAGUUAAAGUCUAGAUUCAAAACCGGGCAUACUUGGUUUUAUACUGGGGGCAGUUUACUAUAGGAAAGCUUUAUGGCAGGCAUCGGGCUUAAAUUUUAAAGCAUUUAGUUUAGAUGAAGCAAGGGGAAACGUUUGUGUUUGCCAGAAGCAUAUCAAUUUACUUAUGGCACUAAAAUCCAUCCUUCUAUUUGCCCAGCUUUAUUAUGGAUGUUAUAAUCUAAGCAAGUUGCGGUUGUUACUCAGUGUUUUCUUGAAGCUACCCUUCACUGAAUGGUUAUUUUUUUCCAUUUCAGGAAUACUUUUGAUUUAAAGAAAAAUGUAUAAACUGUAUCUCAAACAUUUACUACGCAUUGCAAAAAAAGUUCUUUUUUUUUUUUCUUAAACUCAUAUUAUACAAAUAUGAUGAAGGUCAAAGUAGCUCAGAGAGCUCAAAUAGGAGUCAUAUAAUGCGAUUUUUCAGCUAAUCGCUGCAGCGACCAACUAUUUUCUGAAUACUUAAGCAAGUUUAACAUUUUGAGUGCUUAUAAUAGUGACAAAC
Long non-coding RNA from Varroa destructor (honeybee mite), 1318 nucleotides. RefSeq lists it as uncharacterized. The record is from RefSeq and is a predicted model, not a curated record. Lineage: Eukaryota; Metazoa; Arthropoda; Arachnida; Mesostigmata; Varroidae.